RNAcentral lists this transfer RNA (88 nucleotides) under Methanobacteriota archaeon. RNAcentral describes it as "Euryarchaeota archaeon (marine metagenome) tRNA-Ser". It matches the Rfam family "tRNA". Rfam says of the family: Transfer RNA (tRNA) molecules are approximately 80 nucleotides in length. Their secondary structure includes four short double-helical elements and three loops (D, anti-codon, and T loops). The record is from RNAcentral. Lineage: Archaea; Methanobacteriati; Methanobacteriota. RNAcentral also lists the same sequence under 1 other name.
GCCGGGGUAGCCUAGCCUGGCUAAGGCGUCGGAUUCGAGAUCCGAUGGGCGCAAGCCCGCCUGGGUUCAAAUCCCAGCCCCGGCGCCA